UGGACUUAUCAAGCACCUCCUUCUCUGUACCCAACAGUAGGGGUUCAUUUUCCCAUUGGCUGUGCUUUCUGGUAAAUUUGUGAGGUCGUGGCCAGUAUUAGCCCAUUCCUGGUGGUGUCCGGAGCCCCUCGGGCAGGGCACAGCUGGGGAGCUGGGUGCCAGCCCCUCUGCAGUGGGGCUUUUGCCCCGUCAGCUCAUAAGGCACCAGAUGCUGAGGGAUGAAUUAUUAGUAAGCUGGCUCGUUGUUUUCCGUGGCCUUUGUUUCCUGGGCGACCCGCCGGGUCCCCAGACAGUUGGUGGGGCUUUGUCGCUCUGCCUCCGAGGUUGCCGUGUUUCCUGGGGCGGUUGUUUCUGUCAGGCUGCCUUCAUCUUUAUGUCCCCUGCCUUCCUGAGUGUCUCACGAGGCUGACCUCUGCUCCUGAUCCUGCCAGCCAGGGCCAUUAGGUCACGGGACCUCAGGCUUGGCUUUCAGAGGGUGGUGGCCCUUCCUUCCUCUUUCUUGGCCUCCCUGUUCAUCCUUAGUGACUUUGCACGGGCUGGGUCGCACUGAGAUUUGAUAUUCGUCAAAGCAAGGUGACCUAAGAAUGAAUGCAGCCCAGGAGGGCCAUCCUUCCACAGUGCGCACCAUCUCUGGGGCAGAGGGACCUCGCUUCAUUGCUGCAGGGUCCUAUCUGGGCCCAGUUCUCUCAUGUAACAGCAAAGCUCAGUUUCAGAUUUGAUAACAGACUUGUUUCUGUGGCCGUCAGCGAGGCCCCCUGUUGGGAAGAAUACCUGGGGGAAACCUGAGAGAUCCCUGUCGCCUGGGUAUUCGGGAGAUGGGAGACUUUGUUUUUCUGUUGGCCGGUUGUUUCCCGAGGAAGAUGGAAGACUUGAGGGAGCGGACGGUGGAGGAACUGGAGAAGCUGCAGGAUGACCCCGAGGAGAUUGACCGUCUGGUCAUGGAGUCACCCGAGGUAAAACGAGUCGCCGACGUCUGCGUGGACCUUUCUAGGUUUGCUCACCGUGGGAUUAUCUCCAGCUUACAGAUGGGGAAACUGAGGCAGGCAGCGGUGAAAUGACGUGCCCAGGGUCACACAGCCGUCUGAAGCGGUCUGAACUCGGGUCUUCUUGACCCUGAGUCCCAGAGCAAAGGUGACUGUAAUAAUAGCA
This 1149-nucleotide long non-coding RNA is filed under the name Vombatus ursinus (common wombat). RNAcentral describes it as "lncRNA (ENSVURG00010003369.1)". Lineage: Eukaryota; Metazoa; Chordata; Mammalia; Diprotodontia; Vombatidae. The record is from RNAcentral.